UGGCUUAAUAUACAUAAAACGUAAAGCCACUUAUAUUGGCCUCUAGAAUGUGUUAAAUACUUUAAGGAUAUUGCUUUAAAAUUCUUUGCUUAACUUAAUAUGAAGAUUAUUCUACAAGCCAGCAAGUAAUGAAGGGAUUCUAUGGAAUAAUAAAAGAAAUGUUUAGCCAGGAUUGAAGAAUUCACUAGGAUAAUCUAACCAAUUACAAUAUUGACUACGAUUAAGGCUAAAAAUAAUGUACCUAUCAAAUAAAGUGAAUUACAAGAAAGAAAUAGAACACCCUGUAUAGGAUUAUCUGAGCUGAUUCUUUCUAGAAUCCAUUUUUUUUUUACUUUUCAUGUUAUAUGCAGUUUCAAUAUGUUAUUACUUCUAAUCUUUCAAGUACUGCUGUCAGAUAAACCUAAUUAUUUCCUAGAAAUGGCUUGCUACUGAAAGAAAAAUGUAGCAGAAAACUUAGUCGCCCAUUUAGAUAUAUUCAGUUCAUAUUAAAAUAUUUCCUUCUUUAUUUUUUUCUCUAAAAGAAGACUCAAGUGGAUGAGGUAUCAGACAUAUUGGCACAAGUAAGAUGAAGGUGGGUAGAGAAGGCGUAGCAAAUCCCAGGACUUGACACAGACCAGACAAUUCUUCAUUAAAUCUCUAGGAGCCCCGGAAAAUUUCCACAGAUAUUUCUUGGGGACUAUUACGAAUUGAGUAUUUGUGUCCCCUCAAGAUUGAUAUGUUGAAGGCCUAAUCUCAGUGCAAUAUAUGUGAAGGUGGGGCCUUUGAGAAACCAUUACAUUUAGACGGGGUCAAGAAGGUAGAGCCCCCAUGAUGGGAUUAGUCCACUUAUGAGCUUGGUCUCUAUCCCCCCACCCCACCCCCGCCUCCAGUGGAGAAAGAAAGCAGCUGUCUCUAAAUCAGAAACAGGGGCCGGACCAAGCACUCAACCAUGCUAACUGAUUUUAGACUUCCCUAGAAGUCUAGACUUCCUAGAGCUAGAAGAAAUAAAUGUCGAUUGUUGAAGCUACACAGUAUGCUAUUCUGUUACAGCAAACUGGAUAGAGGAUAAGGAUUGUCAGUGUUCCUCUCACGUGGCCCUUGAAGUCUUGGCCGACAAGAUCAUGAAUCUUGGUGUCACAGCACCUAUGCUGACUGCACACAGCUGGCUGAAAAUGUUGGUGCCACUCUCUGAGCAUUUGGGAAGGCAAUGCUGAGACGUGUCUGGUCCUACAUCUGCAAUCGUCUGAGAUCCAGAUUUAGACACCCAGCAUGGUUGUCUAGGACACUAGUUUUUGAAGCUAUUGUUUUAAUUUCAUUAUGAAAAGAAGAAAUUAUGCUACUUUACUCCUUGUACAUCCGUGUUUUACGAGGCUCUCAGACUAUUAUCCUCCUAAAGUUCAGCCUGCUGACAUACCAACAAAUGGUAGGAUUUAGCUUUACACCAACUGAUUACCUUAAGAAUGGGAGAGGGCUCAGGAUCAUGUCUCACUCUGAGUUCAAAAAUUAGGCAGUAAUUUACAUUCUUGAAGUAUCAUUGAAAUCCUUGCAACAGAUGUCUUUUCUCCCAAAAUUGAAUAGAUGUGGUAGAACCAUCCCUGUUCCUUUACUCAGGGCUGUCUGUGGUCAGUGGCAAACAGUUUAACAUAGAUCCUAAUGGUAGAGACAACAUCGGUUAGUUUUUGUACAGGAUCCUGUCUUCUUAUUCAUUGUUGUAUCUUCAGAAUGAAUUCAUAUGUAAAUCUUAGGCUGUGUAGUAAUCAAUUCAUUCAUUUGAUUCGACAAAUAUUUAUUGAGAGCCUACCAUGUGCCAAGUACUAUUUGAGAUAUUCGGAAUACAUUAUUAAGACACUUGUCCUUGAAGAGAUUACAUUUUGGAAGGAGUGGAGGAACAGGCAAUAAACAUAACAAAGUACAAAUAUUGUCAGAAGAUACUAAAUUCUACAAGGAGUAAAAGGAUAAGUCAGCAGGAUAAGGAGGAUGAGAGGAAGGGAUACAAGCGAGUUGAGAUACAACGACUUGAAGGCGGUGAAAGAGUUGGCCAGGCGAACACCUGGAAAAGGGCACUCCAACCAGAUGGCACAGCCGCCAGAGAAGGAGAAUAAUUUGGGUCUCAGAUAGUCAAGCAAGGAGGUCAGCGUAGCUGAGGGAGAGUGCCGCAGGGGGAAAAUGGUAGGAGAUGAGGUCAGAGGUUAGCAGGUCAGGUCCAGAGGGACUGGGAGACCAUUUAAGAACUUUGGCUCUUACUCUACAUGGACAUAGGGUGCUGCUAAAGGGUUCUGAGCAGAGGAGUGACAUGAUCCAAAAUUGGGUUUUGGAAGGAAUCCCUCCGGUUGCUGGGCUGACAAGAGACGGUCAGGAGUGAGGUUAACCUGAGAAAGAGAACUAGGAGGCAAUGGCAGUAAUCCAGGUGAGAAGUAUUUUUCAGAGAUGAAAUCAGCGACCUUGGUUCUCCAUGAGUUAACUUACCGAUGCUAGCUAGCCCAGACUGAAACGACUUUAUACAUAUGCUAAAGAAAUCUAUUUAGAUAGAUACAGCUCUGCCAAUACAUUUCACCUCGAGAAAUGCCCGGGUAUGUUUUUUAAUUCUUACAUUUUGUGAGCAGGUGGUACAAUGAAUGGACACCAACUUCAAACAAACUCCCAUAAGAACCAUUAGGACUAACUUACCCGAAAGGAACCUUCAAAUUCACAUCAAUCAAUAAUAGCUAAUAAUGGCCUCCGUUAAUUUGUUUUAAUUUUGACCAAGUGAUAAUAUUGCCAUCGUUUUUUUUUUUUUUUAAAACAAUCCUUGAUGGGACUGCUACCUCUGUUGAACUCUUGAGUGUAUCUCGUCCCAAAGAGAAUGAUCAACAAAAUCAGUCCUGGAUACACGCUAUACAUUCUGUUAUACCUACUCAUAGCUCAUCUGUGACAUAGCUUCUGAAUUAAAAGCAAAGAAAAAAAAACAGGAAGAGAGAGAAUAAAAUAUUUGCUCACAUUUGGGAAGAGUUCAACUAAUUUCUUUAGCUGAUUAAGUGACAAUGAUGAGUUAUGGCACAACACUGGUAUAGAUAUCUUCAGGAAUAUGACCAUGUAUUGGUCAACAGCUCUACAACGACGGUGAUACAUAUUUGUGUAGAACCCACAAUAUAUCCGGUUCUUCGGGAGCACAUGAAGGACUGACCUGCAUUUAAACAAUCCAUUAUGGGGCGCCUGGGUGGCUCGGUCAGGGUGCAGUUAGCUGUGAGGUGACAAAUAAGGACACAACGCACACAGUAAUGGAUAUUAGUGGAUGGGACCAGGAGCCAGGGGACCAGAGAAUCACGGAAUCACUCUGAAGCUUGUUUCCUCAAAUCUAUACCACCUUCUGAGCCCACCUGCACAUCUACCUGAAACACCAACAGCUGGCAUGUGGAAUCCACUGGAAAAUGAAAUUGGAAUUUAGUAAUUAUGUAUUUUAAAUUAUUUUAAAUUGCAAAAUUUUUUUUAAUGUUUAUUUAUUUUCCAGAGAGAGAGAGAGAAAGACGGAGCGUGAACGGGGGAGGGCAGAGAGACAGAGGGAGACACAAAAUCCGAAACAGGCUCCAGGCUCUGACCUGUCAGCAUAAAGCCUGACACGGGGCUCGAACUCACAAACUGAACUCAUGACCUGAGUUGGACGCACAACCGACUGAGCCACGCAGGCGCCCCUAUUUUAAAGUACUUCAAGAGUGAGAAGUGACAUACAAAUGUGAAACAUCCUUAUAUAUUUAUAUUGAGCGUAUUCUGAGCUGAUUAAUCCUGUAAAUAUCAUUCUGACUGAUCUCUAAUAUAAGAAGGAGACUUAAACCCUUUUUCAGCAAGACUUCCGGGAGAAAAUGUCAAACAUUUUAUUUACAGUUUAUUUUGCAUUUCAAGAAUGCUUAAAUUCCGUUCAUCAAUCUUUAUUAUAGCCUGACAAUUCUUAGAGCCAUGUCAGACUUCAAGAGUAUCCUGAAGUAUGAUUAUUUUUGGCCUUAUUCAGACAGUUAUGAUCUCCACUAUCAGCCCCAACUUUGAUUUUAGAAAGUGUAUGUGGUGCCAGCUCUUCUGUCCUCAGGGAAUGGAGAAUGAGUUAUCGUGAUAUUCACUUGAAAAAUAAAAACUAAGGAGCUAGUCUAAAAGACUAGAUCCUGGCUGUUA
Long non-coding RNA from Neofelis nebulosa (Clouded leopard), 4119 nucleotides. RefSeq lists it as uncharacterized. The transcript is spliced from 4 exons. The record is from RefSeq and is a predicted model, not a curated record. Lineage: Eukaryota; Metazoa; Chordata; Mammalia; Carnivora; Felidae.